GGGGGCGACCGGCUUCGACGCAGGUCGCGAAGCCUUCGGUGCAUGCAGAGCUGCGAUUUGCUCUUAAAACUGGUCGCAGAUUCAUAAUUGCCAACGACAGCAAUUACGCCCUCGCUGCUUAAGCAGUGAGCCCUCUGCCCGGGUUUGUUCGUGGACCCGGAGCCGAAAGGCAUGCGGAGGGUCAUGAAACACGGAAUCGCGCUGGAUCUGGUCGGUGGGUCCAGUUCUAAAACAAAGCCGAAUCGCUGGGAGCGCAUCCUGUUUGUCGGAGUCGCUCCGGGUUAAAACCCAAUAGACAAACUACGCAUGUAGAUCCGGUGGUCUAGGUCUUGCGGACGCGGGUUCAAUUCCCGCCGCCUCCACCA
Molecule: transfer-messenger RNA, 365 nt
Filed under: Acidithiobacillus sp.
Lineage: Bacteria; Pseudomonadati; Pseudomonadota; Acidithiobacillia; Acidithiobacillales; Acidithiobacillaceae
Also listed under: 1 other name
Description: transfer-messenger RNA IBUN_S3
Rfam family: transfer-messenger RNA
About the family: Bacterial tmRNA, also known as 10Sa RNA or SsrA, is named for its dual tRNA and mRNA-like properties.
Source: RNAcentral